UACGUAGGGCGCAAGCGUUGUCCGGAAUUAUUGGGCGUAAAGAGCUCGUAGGCGGUUUGUCGCGUCGGAUGUGAAAGCCCGGGGCUUAACUCCGGGUCUGCAUUCGAUACGGGCAGACUAGAGUGUGGUAGGGGAGAUCGGAAUUCCUGGUGUAGCGGUGAAAUGCGCAGAUAUCAGGAGGAACACCGGUGGCGAAGGCGGAUCUCUGGGCCAUUACUGACGCUGAGGAGCGAAAGCGUGGGGAGCGAACAGG
Molecule: ribosomal RNA, 253 nt
Filed under: uncultured bacterium
Lineage: Bacteria
Description: partial 16S ribosomal RNA
Rfam family: Bacterial small subunit ribosomal RNA
Source: RNAcentral